AUGAACCUGGCUGGAGAGUUCCGGGACCGAGUCCCGGACGCCGAAGGAGCAAGUACCCACAAACUCUCAGGCACCAGGACAGUCAGGGUCGG
Molecule: non-coding RNA, 92 nt
Filed under: Rhodococcus jostii RHA1
Lineage: Bacteria; Bacillati; Actinomycetota; Actinomycetes; Mycobacteriales; Nocardiaceae
Also listed under: 1 other name
Description: Glycine riboswitch aptamer
Rfam family: Glycine riboswitch aptamer
About the family: This family represents the bacterial glycine riboswitch.
Source: Rfam by way of RNAcentral